Molecule: ribosomal RNA, 357 nt
Filed under: Bradyrhizobium sp. 11LoS12_21
Lineage: Bacteria; Pseudomonadati; Pseudomonadota; Alphaproteobacteria; Hyphomicrobiales; Nitrobacteraceae
Description: bacterial LSU rRNA
Rfam family: Bacterial large subunit ribosomal RNA
Source: RNAcentral
AAUCAAGUGCCUUAAGGGUGUUCGGUGGAUGCCUUGGCGCUGAGAGGCGAUGAAGGACGUGCUACGCUGCGAUAAGCCGUGGGGAGCUGCGAAGAAGCUUUGAUCCACGGAUUUCCGAAUGGGGAAACCCACCUUCGAUAGCUGGAACUCCAAGAUCUCGUAUCUUGGGGUUUGAACAGCAAUGUUUGAGACCAAGCCGUGAGGUUUUGGAUUUCCAGUUAUCAAGUGAAGGUAUGAAAUCUCCGAAUAAAAUAGGAGGUUUUAAGCGAACCCAGGGAACUGAAACAUCUAAGUACCUGGAGGAAAGGACAUCAAUCGAGACUCCGUUAGUAGUGGCGAGCGAACGCGGACCAGGCC